UUUUUUUUUUUUGGUUAGAUGAUCUCCUGUUAUUAUCUGUUUGAUUGUUUUUUUGUUUUUUUUUUCAUUUUUUGCAAAUGCAAUAUUUGGUUUUGGCUUGUGGUUGCCCUGUUUUUUAAGUAUGCUAACCCCUUCCUAUAAUUGUGUGUUUUAGCCUGAUGGUCCUGUAAGUUCAAACACUUCAUUACUAUAUUAAAAUUAAGAAGAGAAACAUACUAACAAACAAACAAAAAGGGUUAUUUACUUCCUAACAUCCCUUGCCCACAUUUGAUGGUUUUGAUGACUCUUUUUUAUUUUUUUCUUUUUAAUUUUAUUUUGUUUGAGGCCUGAUCAUGAUUAAAUCUGUAUGCUGGCUUAUUUGAGUGACUGCUCUCUGAUUGCGGUUUCCUCAGUCCUAGUUCUUCCUCCUCUUCUUUUUUUUUUUCUUUUCUUUUCUUUUUUUCUUCCCUUUCCUUCCUUUCUUUUUGGUUUAGAGAAGCCCUUUCAGUAUUUCUUUUAACCUGGGUUUUGUGUUGCUGUAUUCUUAUAUGUUCUUAAUCCAUUCAUUGUGAUGGACAUUUAGCUUGUUUCCAUAUAUUAGCUAUUGUGAAUAGUGCUGCUGUGAGAGGGGUACAUGUAACGGAAGUAUUUAAUACUAACAACCCUCCCCUAAGACAAAUGGCAAUGUCUUGGACUAAUUUCUCUUUAUAAACUCAUCACCCUUGGUUACAACUUAUGAUGUUAUAAAUAUAUUAAAGGGAAUCCACAGCUCAGCCUCCAAAUGACUUAAUUAUCCACACCAAGUACAUCCUCUUUUUAAAAACUGAUCCUAAAAAUUACCUUAUAGAGUUCUAGUAAUUUUGAGUUCUGCGUAAAAAAUAUUUGUUGUUUAAAAGAAAUACAUUUGUGCAUGUAAAGUUGAAGUAUUGAACACAUUUGAUGCCUUUAAUAUUGUUCUUUUUAUGGAAAAUGCCUGUUAACUUCAGAAACAAUUUUAUGUGAAUGAAAUAUCCUAUCUACAAACAAUGAACUUUAAACCCAGAUUUCAUUUAAUGGAAUUAUAUUGGUGAAAUAAAUCACUUGUGUAUGUGUGGGUCCCUGUAAUAUUAUUGUGCUUACAGUUGUUGCCAUGCUCCAGGGGAGUGAUGGAUGGCAUCAAAGAUUAACCCAAUUUUACAUCAAGUUCUUGCUAAUCUCACACCACCCCUUCAUAAAUCUGAAUAAAUUGUUGCUGCUCCACAACACUAGUGUGAGCUCUAAAAUGGUUUUAGCCUGAAAUUAUAUAUUAUUGAAACCUCCUUUGAAAAUGGUACGGGCUUUUAUUGUUUUCAUAACUGAAUUGUGUUUUCACAUCUCUUACACUGCUGUAGUGGGUAUUGCUUAGCAACAAGCCUCCAAGAGGAUGGGGGAUAGCACAACUCAUUAACAUAAUAUGCUAAUCCCUGGGUUCUGACUACCACCUGGGUAAAUUUACUUCAGGCCCCUAUGACUUGCAUAACCCAACAGAAUGAUUCUUCUUCCCCUUCUAAAAUGAGUUUGUAUUUCUAUAUAAUUAAACAUAUUAUCUCAGUGAUAUGGCAGCAAAUAUUAAAUAUUAAGUAGUGUAGAUCACCCAGCAGGGAACUAAUAUACAUAAAAAAGUAUUUUCACAUGAAGAUUCACCUAACUUUUUAAAACAAAUGCCACUUAAAGAGGCAAACCCAUGCUACAUCAUUGCAUUUUGCCGCCCUUUGUUUAAAAAGAGAACAUAAAUGAUACACUACAAAUAGAAAGUACUCUUUGUAGGAGUGGCUCACACUGAGAAAUGCAUGCAAUUUCUCCUAGACUUCUUUGUAUCCAGGAGUACACUUUUGGGAGAUAUUAAAUUUUAAGGUAAGCCCAGAGCAAAGGAAAAAACUUUCUGCUCUCCAAAAUUAACAACUGCCUCUAUGUAGUUUGAGUAAAUGACUUUGGUCUUAUUAGAACAGACAGAAAUACUUUUGAGAAUACCAAGAUUCACAGCUCCCUUUAAAAACAAUUCUGAAUCAUCCAGAAGUAGUGUGGGACAUGCAUAUGACAUGGAGCAUACCCAUCAAGACUUUAGCUCAAAAGCUGGCAAAAUUACUGUGGUAAUUUCCUAACCCCAGGUUAGCUAUUUUAAUCCCCCUUUGGGUUCAGACUUCAUGAGUUUCUCUGGAGAGGAUUUCUCAUUCACUCCACCCUGUUGGCCUCUUGUGUGACAUGAAGAAUUGAGGCAAUCUGUACCCUACUUAUGGGCUUACUUUCUCAAAAUGGGUUAAUGCGCUUUCAAACCUGUUCAUCAGAGAAUGGAAGAGUUGUGUAAGACACUAUGAGGAAGCCUGAUGGUCUCAAUGGAAUAUGAGAGCAUUUCAGAAGUCUGGAAGCAUUAAUCCUCUGCAUUAGCCAAUUCUUUUGAGAAAUUUUGUUAAAUAGGACAUCAGCAGCCAUAUAUCCUAAUUCUAUUUUUCUCUUCUUUCAAAGUACUAAAUUUCUAAUUUCAAAGUGGUUACUGUCCUUUCAGAUAUUGACAGAACAAUCUGAUCGAUUAGUUCAACUAUUCCCACCACACAGAGCAAAUAUUAAAACAUCAAAAAAGACAAUAAAUUGCCUUAAGGAAUUGGCAUCUGAAGUUUAAGUUUAAAAGAUCCUUAGCCUUUAGGUAAAUACUGUAGAAGUAAAGCAAAGAUUAAUUAAAAUUAAAAUAUGAUUGUUAUAAAAUAUGGUUAUAUUAGAAGGGAACAAUUUCUGAUAUUCUAAAAAUUUUAAUAGAAUUCAAAAAUUUUAAUAGAAUUCAAAAAUAUCCAGUGUUGGCUUCCCAUAUUAAAUUUUACAUAUAAAUCCACUCUGAGGAAAAUGUAAUUGCUUCCAAGCUCUUGGAUUCUACUAUCCAUAAUGAAUAAUGUAUUGUGACAUGUUUUUAUAAAGUUAAAUGUUUCUUUUGACGAGGAACAUUUAUCACCUAAAAACACUUGAGCUUUUACUUUCUUUCCUCCACUUUGUCUUCAUUUAAAAUUUUUUCCUGUCUUUUUCUGGUUACUCCAGUUUCUGUUGUUAACUCUGUAGUGUUGAAUGAUAGAUGGUUUGAUCACUGAAUGGAAUUGCUUUUAUUUUAUUUUGACAUUGACUCAAUGAUAGAUCCACAAGCCUGUGUGAGUAUUACAAAGAUUUCCUCAAAAAGAAGAUUUAAAACUAUGAUAUACAAGUCAUACAGUCAUUUUUCCUUCUUUUCUUCAAUCCUCAAAGACUAAUUGGUAUUUCAAACAAAAUCUUUAUCAUCUGUUUACCUAUCUAUAUAUCGAGAGAAGAACAAGAAUCACAAUGAUGCAAUGUCAUAGUACCCACAUUCAUUAUCUGAAGUAAAGACAGAUAAGAGAGUAGGGCAGAAUAGGUAAAAGUUAAUGAAUAUCGAGAUAGAACAAAGAGAGUGGUCUUCAAUUUGAAAUAUUACCAAAAUAAAAUUGUGUGGAAGGAAUUAAAACCUACUGUAGAUAAGGAGAGCAUAAAGAAUAUUUACCAACUCUAAGCUGAAUGAGGACAAAUUAGGUCCUGUGGCACUGAUAAUAAUAAUAGAAUAUAUUCAAACAAUUUCAUGUAUUAUCUUGUGCAUUUAGCCAUGUAAUCACACCGGCAGAUAUCCUUCCACAAGGAGCAUGACUGACUGAUGGCCCCAAAUACUGCUCCUCUAGACUUCCAACUAUUCAUGUUAAGAUCACUCAAUAUCCAGUGGAUGAAGAGGACAUAAUACUAAGUAGAACAUGCAUAGUUCCUGGCACAAGCAGAGAGCUCAAUUGCUAAAGAUUUCACUGAGGAUGACCUAGUAAUUCAACCUAGUAGAGGGCCAAUGCCUUUUCCAGGCUUUAUCAGGUGAGAUGGUUCAGACAUUUGAAAGAUAUGUGAGGGGAGGGCACUGGGCAGUAGGCCAUGCCUAUAAUAAUAACCAGACUUGGUUAGUUAAUACAAUGUUGUAUUUUUCCUCUGUAAAGAGCUAGUGAGAGACUGAAGGCCAUUAAUAAGCAGUUGAUCUCCAAAAAGAGAGCCUUUUUGGUAGCCUACAAAGGAGAUUUUAUCUCCUACAAUAGAAGAACAGAUAUUGCUGAAUAGCAGACUGAAGAUCUAAUUGAGUGACAAAACUAAGACAUUUGAAUCCUCAGUCAAGGUGGAUCUGCAAUACCAAGGGUAGGACACUAGUUGGGAAACCUAGAAUCCCAAAACAUGAAUGGGAAUAUUUGAGUGGAUGUCCCUGGGGAGACUGGCUCUGAAGAAUACACAUGGAUUAUGGUGGGGGUCCAUCCUUCCCUAGUAAGAGAUAGUAUUUCUCUUCCAUUAGAGAGGACUCUCCCUGCAAGCAACAGUUGUUUCCAUCAAGUGUCACUUCCAUAUGCUCUCCUGAUAAUUGGGUUAAAUCCAUGCUAGAGUUGUAUUGACCCUGGUGAAGGAGGGAAAAAAAAGCUAUAUGAAAAAGAUAAGAAACAUAUAGUAUAUACUGGAAGGAUCCAGCUGAAUACCCUUGGGAUUGGAUUUUGAAGGACCUUGAUCAACAAAUUCAGAGCAAAAAAUGAGAUAAACAAGAAUUGACUUUGAGGCACAUUCUUAGGGCACAGCCUGGGUAGGGCUCACAGGGAAAUAAGCAAAGUUAUCAUUAAAAAGCUAUUAGAAGUCUGGAGAAAGCAAAGGUUAUUGUGGAGAUGACUGAGUUACCCUGUAAGAUAGUGAAGGAAACAGUAAAGUGGUCGAGUGACAUAGGCAUGCUGGGAUGAAUACACUGUGAAAGCAGAAGUCCUGGCAGAAGAUUGUGUUCCUUGGGGGGAUAUAGAAGACACACUGCUCAAGAAAGCCUUUAGGAUUCUGGAAAAGAGAAUUAUAUGCCUUUUGGGGAGCAGUUCCUGGUAUGUUAGUUUGGCUCUAAUAGAGAUAAAAUGGGUGACCAUGGGACUGUCUAUCAUGAUCUGGAUUUACUAGACUCCUCAAAUCAUAAAAUUAGAUAGUCUUGGCAGCAGACACCUCAAAUUGAGCCCAAGGAGGACAAAAGAGCAUGAUUAAGUUAAAUAAUUGGGAACCUAGGCCCCUGUACCACCUGAUACAGAUGGACAAAAACCCCCUCUCCACUUCAUAUCUUUGGCCAAGCUUACUUUAGAAUAAGUUGGCUUGUUAUGUGGGUACAAUCUGAAAAUGGACAGUGGCUGCACUGAAUCCACCUUCAGGGGUGGUCUUGAAAGACUGGAGAUGAAAAUCUCUCCGAAGAACAGAGCCACAAAUACUAAACCUGGUCCUUGACUUUGGAUGGAAGAAGUAGCCCUGCAUGAAAUUGUAAACAGAUUUCUGGUCAGUAGUCAAUGGCCAGGCUGCAUUGUCAGAGGUCUGGAAGAGAAAAACACUAGAUGAUCAAGGACAAGAAGUUCUGCUCCAGAAGCAUUUGGGCGAACAUAUGGGAUUGGUUGCUAAAUUAUAAACAUCCACAAGAAAGCAUCUACCAUUGAAGAGGCACUGGGCAACAAUAUAGUCAAUAUCCUAGCCCACUGAUAUUAGUUAGCUUUUGUUAUUCAUCAUAUUAGAACUGCCAAUAUCAGCACAUGUAAGUAGUAGCCAUGGUAGCAGAGACAGAGGCUAUGUAUGGAGCCAAGAAUAAGGACUUCUUUUAAUAAAGCAAAUCCAGUUACUGAUGUCUCUGAAUAUGCUACCUAUUAGCAGAGAACAAUGCUGCCCUUCCAAUAUGACAAAAUUCCUGAAGGUGACCAACUGACAGCUUGGCACAAAUUGACUACAUUAGGCUUCUUCCAUCCCAUAAAGGCCAAUGGUUCAUCUUAAUAGGAAUAAAUAAGUACUUUAAAUAUAUAUGUUCUUUUCCUGUCCACAAAGUCUCAGCCAGGACUACAAUCUAGGGGUUUACAGAGUGUCUUGUUCACAAACAUAGAGUCCACAGAACACAACAUCCAGUCAAGGGACCUACUUUAGAGAAAAAGAGAUGUGGGAGUUGGCCAUCAUAGGAUCACUUCCAUGAUAGGUUCCACUCUUUAUACCACAUACUAUACAACCCAGCAGCAGCAAAUCUCCUAGAGCUCUGUAGAAGCCUUCUAAAACAAAGCUGUAGUAUCAGCUCAGAGGCAUCAUUCUGAAAGGAUGGAAUGCCCUCCUGAAAGAUGGAGCAUAAGCAUUACAGACAUCUACCUGGUGCUG
This 6153-nucleotide long non-coding RNA is filed under the name Sus scrofa (pig). Its description in RNAcentral is "lncRNA (ENSSSCG00025000355.1)". Lineage: Eukaryota; Metazoa; Chordata; Mammalia; Artiodactyla; Suidae. The record is from RNAcentral.